RNAcentral lists this microRNA (21 nucleotides) under Monodelphis domestica (gray short-tailed opossum). RNAcentral's name for it is "mdo-miR-12320-3p". The record is from miRBase by way of RNAcentral. Lineage: Eukaryota; Metazoa; Chordata; Mammalia; Didelphimorphia; Didelphidae.
UGGAAUUCCAAAAACCCUCCU